Small nuclear RNA from Ochotona curzoniae (black-lipped pika), 102 nucleotides. NCBI's taxonomy places the organism in Eukaryota, Metazoa, Chordata, Mammalia, Lagomorpha, Ochotonidae. The record is from RefSeq and is a predicted model, not a curated record.
AUGCUCACUUCGGCAACACAGAUACUAAAAUUGGAACGAUACAGAGAAGAUUAGCAUGGCUCCUGUGCAAAACAUUGAGUACAUUAUAUAUGAAGUAUAUUU